RNAcentral lists this long non-coding RNA (201 nucleotides) under Lathyrus oleraceus (garden pea). Its description in RNAcentral is "Pisum sativum (pea) long non-coding RNA (PSAT_LNC009430)". The record is from RNAcentral. Lineage: Eukaryota; Viridiplantae; Streptophyta; Magnoliopsida; Fabales; Fabaceae.
UUUCGCCUAAUUAGAUUAAAUUUUGUGUUUUUUGUAUUUUUCUGAAUUUAUUUUGAUCAUAUUUAUUCUUUCUUUUUUGUUUCUGCCUACUAGGUCUGGUUGUUCUGAUCUUUUUUAUUUUGAUCCUGAGAUAGAGAGAGCCUUGCAUGCACGUUGUAGAGCAAAUCAGGCUAGCACUAGUUCACCACCCGUUAGCGAUUC